ACAAAUUACUUUGCUUGAAAUAUUCAAAUGCACACCCUCAUUGACUAGAGAUUCAAAGAAGAAAACAUGUCUAGUAAAUAAUGAAAACAAUGUAUUGAUAAAGAAACCAACCAAGAUUUGAUCAAAGUCUCUCAACAUAUAUAUACACACACAUCAAUGCAUUAUUGAUUGUUGUAUUAAACACUUAAACAUCACAAGCACAUGAAUCAUGGAUCUAAGAGAAAUGGAGCUACAAACACAUUUAUCUAUCAUACCCAAGGAAAUUAUCACUUGUUGUACAAGGUAAUGAAGAAAUGGAGCUACAGAACAACUUAGGGAUAAAAGUUUUAAAACCUUACUGUCAAUUCUUAAACGAUGCAAUAUCAAACUCUCUUUAUGUUGCAAGGAUCGAUGUCACAUCCCGACCCUUAUAUUUUUUACCUUAUUUACUAGCUUGGUUAUAAUAAGAAUUUUACCGUCUCUGUCAUCGAGGUAAUAGUUUAAUUGGUCCCUAGAGGGGUUUUAGGGACGGUUAUGUGCGGAGGAUUAUUUGUAGGAGGAAAUUACGGCGACGGUAAAAAUGGUAAAUUUUAGCUAGUAAAAGGUAAUUUUUAUUCGGGUAUUAUUUUUUCGGGGUGUUUUAUUUUGGAUUUGGGUUGUAUAAGAGUGUUGGACCGGGCCAAGAGGUGGUGAAAGCCCAGCCCUCUCUUUUCCCUUUCUCUUCUCUCCCUCCCGGCCUCAUCCCCGAGCUCUCCCGACCAGGAAACUUUUCGGCCGCCGUCCGCCGCCGUCCGGCCGAGAUAGGAGGCGUGCUUGGUGUCGAUUUGAAGCUUGGAGCAUCCUCUACAAGUUUAGAUAGGUGGCAGCCCAUGUUAAGCCACCGUGAAGGAGAAAUCAUGCCGAAAAGCCGCUGCUGUGCGUGGCGGGGUUUUCGCCGAAAAAUCCUUUUUCCGGCCACCAUAGCCGGAGCUGUUGGUAUCAUUUGGACGCUCUCUCUUCCAGCAGCAAACCCCUAAAAGGAUUCAUCCUAACUCGAGCUAGGUAAGGAGAAUCGGGUGUUUGAAUUUCCUAGGGUUUUCUUGAUAUGUUUGGUUUCGAUUACUCUAUUUAGGCUUGAAAUUGGACUUAGUGAUAAUUAUGAAAGUUGUUUACGAUGUUGAGAGGAAGAUGCUGUUAAAUUUUCAUAGGAAUUGGAGGUCGCCGGAAUCGGCCUCCGGCCGCCGCUGCCGGCAGAGCCGGCGUCGGCGCCGCCGUUGUUUGGGAGUUUUGUAUAGUUUUAAAUGUGAAAUAUUAAGGGGAGUAUAUUGAUGUAAAUUAUGGAAUUUUUGGAUGAGUUUUUGUUAGGUUUGUGAAUCUCUGAAGUUUGGUAAUUUUGGCGGAUUAAUAAGAUAGAAUCCCGCCGUUGGAUUAAAGUCGUAUAAUCUGUGGAAGGGUGUAGUUAAGGUUGCUGGUUUUAAUGUUGAGGUGUGGACCGUAUCGAAGUUAGGCAAUGAUGAGCGUGAAUAUGGCUCUCGGUUAAUUUUGCCUAUUUUGUUUAAAUAUUGGAUUUUUAGUUGGGAAAUUAAUUUUAUAUUUGUGCCAGGGUUCGAGGAAACCUCUCUGGAGUGGCGAUUUAGAUUUGGUCGGGCUUAUGCCUAGAGUUGCGAGUGGACUUUUGUUUUAAAUAAAAUGCAUGCUAUAGUUCAUAGAUGAACAAUUAUUGUUAUGGAGCAUUUUGACGUCAUUUUAUUUUGACGAUUUUAUUUCUCUUGGAGAGUUACCGAAAAUGGGAUUUUCGGUGAAUAUAAAUAUGUAUUUAUGAGGAGAGUAUGUAUAAAAAUGCUAGCUAGCCCUAUGUGUCUGUCCACCUUAAUGGCGUAGCAUAUAGCCGCAUUAUGGUAUGACGUGAGCGUUGGACGCGAGCGUAGUAGCCCUAUAUGAGUGUUUAAUUCAUAUAGGGGGUAUGGGCACAUAUUUAUACACCCGUCUGUCCACUUUAAUGGCAUAGUGUAGCACCACAUUAAGGCGUGACGUGAGCGUUGGACGCGAGCGUAGUAGCCCUAUAUAGACCCAUGAAUUUAUAUAGGGAGUAUGGACGUGUGUAAAUACAUACAUAUAUUAUAGAGCCUGAGAGGCUCGACAUUUAUGAGAUAAAAGUUUUAUCGCUUGCAGCAUGCAUUCGAUUUUCUUUGGAAAUUGAAAUGGGGAAGCAUAAAUAUUUUUAUUAGUUUAUUUUUGUCCACUCACUCUAACGUUGUUAAGUGUUUUCCCCUGGGCAUUUCGUUUUAAAAAUGCCCAGCUUGCAAGUUAGCUUAGUCAAGGUCGGGAGUACAUGGAGAUGAGGCAUAGUCAUCAUAUAGCUUCCGCUUGUUAAUUUAUUUUGUUUCCUUUCUUCUUGUUAGAGUUGCUCUGAACCUAUAAUUGGUUGGAUAUGAGAUUUGUUUAGAUUAGUAAAUUUUGGAUGGUGUUGUGAUUUGGGGAGCACGAAGGCUCCAGGAGUAGAGGAUAUUAAAUGGAUUCUUUUGAAGUGUAUGCAGGUAUUAUUAGAAAGGGUUGUCCAUUUUCAAAAGAGGUUAUGCCGAAAUUUUUUUUUUUUUUUUUCGGUAAACUUUCCUUUGAGGUGGUCCCCGCAGGAUUUACUUUGGGUUUCACUACAAAAAUUAAUUCGAUUAGCCACGGCGUGAUGUCGUCGCCAAAAGUCACUUUGUCGUCACGAAAGGGCAAUGGCGACGGCACGGCGACGGCAUUUCUCCCGUUGCCUUUGGUGGCGUCACCAUUGCUCCAGGCGACGGCAACGAGCCGUCGCCAACUUUUUCGCGACGGCAUGCAGCAGCAGAAAAGGUCGUCGCUAAUUUGGCUACGGCAAGUGGCGACAACCCAGACCGUCGCGAAUGCCAUUUUAGCCAUGGCUUUUUGCCGUCGCCAAUGAUUUACUUGAAUUAAAAAAAAUGUAAAAAAAAUUUUGAUUAAAUAUUUAUAACAGAAUAUGUUGCAUUUAAUACUUUAUCAUGAAUGUUACAAAAUAAAUGAAUUUAUGUACAAGUUUUUACUAGUACAAAGUAGUUUUCUCCUACUUGAUAAGCUUUGGACCGAUAAUCCAAAAUAAGCUCUAUAAUUAUAUUCCUCCACUUCAGAUAACUUUGAGCCAGAUCCUUCAUCAAUACCUGUAUUCAAAGUCAAAACUAAAUUACUCCAACUCUAAUUUUAGAUCUAAGUAUGUCUAAGAGUAAAGAUGAUGCAGAUACGAACAUUAAUGGAGAAAGUUUACAAGCUUUGAAAAUGAAAACCAUGCUUAUAAUUAGGAUCAUUAAGUCAAGAACAGCAAGCCUUUAGCCAAACAUUUUCCAAUAAAAAAAAAAAAAACAUUAUAGUACUUAAUAGCACAUAUGGAUAAAAAUGUAGAUUAACAUGUAAAUAGUUGACAUGCAAUCAUGUAAAUACAUGAAAAUAGUGUGCAUGGCUUCCAAAUGCUUACCUCAAGUUGUUCAUGAUGCAGCCACUUCUCCUCUUCUACAUGCAACCCCAAUGCUUCAGCAAUCCAUACACUACUGCAAAUAACACAGAAAAUAGUUUCAAGUUCAAUAGUUUCAAAUUCAGAAGACAGAACCUAAUAGUUUCAAGCACUUAAUAGGGUAGCUAAAAAUUAAGAAAGACCAUCAUUCUAAGUGUGGGAAACAAUACUUACAGCAGCUUUCCUAACAACUUUGGAUAAUGGCAAUAUCUUCUACCGAUCCAUCAUUAAUUUCUUCUUCAUGUAAACCUUCAUGCAAUGCAUUUGACUGCAAUAACUCACUUGUCCACUGUUGCUCAAGAACAACCAUCGACACAACCUCUUUCAUGAAGUUUUUAUUACCUGGAUUUUUGCAAUCCAUGAAGGUUUUACAGAUAUGCACAGAAGGGAAUAGAUCAUCAAAGGACUACGUUAACAACCAACAGACUCUGCUGCUAUAACUUUUUAAGCUCACACAUCAAUUGAAGUCAUUUGUUUCAAAUGUAUAUACAUGACUAUAAAAUGAUUAGAGAAAUGCAGUAAUUUGCUUCAUAGUUGCUAUUUUAGUGUUCAAAUCUAUGUAUCAGAUUAAUGUUUGCAAGUCAUAUUAACAAUAAGGGUUAAUAGUGAUUCCGAAGAUGAUGAGCAGAAUAAUAGGUAUGACACAGCUGAACAGUGCAUCAAGACCAUGAAUGAGACCAUGCAAGAUUGGCAUAACAGAAGCUGGCAACAAGAACCUCUUCAGCACCUAGAAAAUGAUCUCUUUGAUUAUAAAUAGCAAAUUAGCAAGGAUAUGGUUACCAAAUUCCUCAACAAUCAAUCCUUACAUUAACCAUGGCCUUGAUGAGUUAUUUUGCAGUACUAAUGCUAGCACUUGCCCUGACCACUACUUCUGAAAGGGCCAUAGCAGGUGAUCCUGAUAUCGUUUCUGACUUUAUAAUGCUGCCAAAUAACACCAAAGUUGAUGGAAAGUAUUUCACUUACACUAAAUUAUGUGGAAUAUUUGAAAGAUUUCCUGAAACCUUUAAAGUCACAAAAGCUUCAUCAAAUCGAUCAAUUAGUAACACAAAAGAGACAAUAUGCAGUAUUUACACAAAUUAAUUGAUGACCACUCAGACAAAAAAAAGAGAGCAAAUAUAAUGAAUCAUAGUAAUACUGAGAAAUUAAACACCUUCCUUUGCACUGUUUUCCCAAGAAAUAUAAACUUAAACUAGAAUUGUGAACAUUCAGAACCAACAUAGAGGCAGUUCAAACAAAUACACCCUUUAAUCUUUUGAAAACCAGAUACAAGACUACUACGUAUAUUAAAACACAGCUUUCAUGUAGAUAUAAUUAGUACUCCUGAUUAAUGGACUAAACCAUAAAUGACAAAACAAAAUCCAUCAAACUUCAAUUAACAAAAAGUCUGGAAACAACACGAAACAGAAUUGAUAAUAGACUUACUGCAACAUCAAAACAAAUAAUAAAAAGAUUACAAUCUAAUUUGAAGAUAAUGCCCAGUCCAAACUUCAUGAUAUGAACAAAUUGAACAAUGAGGAUAAGCAAACUGAAAAGAGUAGAGAUCAUUGUGAACAACAAAUUGAAAUGAACAGAGAACAUUGUGAACUUACAUUGAAGCUUGUUGUCCAUAUACCUGUGGAAACAAAGAAGAAGAACAGAAAAAUCGAAUCGAUUAGAAUCUAAUUCAUAAAAAUAGAGCGACGAAGAUAAAAUUGAACCGCAAAAAUAGAGCAGAAGAGAGAGAGAAAGAGGCCUUAGCUGGCGACGGCACGUGCAGCGGCGUUCUAGGCGUUGGAGGCGAUGUUGAUCUCACCCAUGGUGGUCGUUGGAAGUCGAGGCACCUGGGUUGUAACGCCUGGCCUCCUUUGGGCUCGAUGGUGACGGCGACGAGGGAGGAAGAUGACCGGAAGUGAGCUUUGGCUGGGCAAAGGCAGCCGGGCUUGGGUGGUCGCAUAAGGUGGCUAGAUGCGUUUCCUACCGUCAAACGGGUUGGGCUUUGAACAGGUUAGGCUCGGUGUCGUUUGGUGUGGGUGGUGAUAAGAGGCGGUGGCCGGAGAUGAAGUCUCCGGCGCUGGCAAUCUAAGGGAGGAGAAAGAGAUAUCGGGGGAUAGAGUGUGAGAAAGAGGGAUAAGGAGAGAAGAAAGAGUCUUGUGGGCUGCUGGCAUGGGAUCUAGGUUUCUUAUUACCAUUUUAUUAAUAUUUUAGUUUUUGACCACGGCGGUAACAUGGCGUCGCAAAUAUCAGAUUAUUUUGCCACGGUGUUCGUCUGCCGUCGCAAAUAUCAAAUUUUUUUGCUACGGCCUGAAGGUGCCGUCGCAAAGUGGUGUAACGUUAGCGACGGCAAACACGCCGUCGCUGAGCCAUUGCAAAUCUUAGACCAACGGCGACAGCAAAGCUUGGCCGUGGCAAACUGUGGUGGCUAACUGAAUUCUUUUUUGUAGUGUUUCAAGGUAAAAUUCGGGGUGGGUCCUGACAGGUGGUAUCAGAGCAUUAGGUUAUUCGUUUCCUUUCUUUUUUUUAGUACUACCUUAUAUUCUUGGUCGCACUUAGUGUCUAUAGAGUGAUGGUCCGACCGCGGCGGAUCUAUUAGCAUUAUAUGCUUUAGACACUAUGUGUUGAUUAGGUUUGUGAUGUAGUUGUUCUUCUUUUAUUUAUGGAUAAUAGUGUGCCAUAAAUGUCUACAUCUCUAAGACAAUGCCUCCGUACGCCGACCUCUUGAGUGUUCAUCCUUCGAGUUUUGAAAAGGUGUAUAGUUUGCACCUAUUCCAAGGUUCAUUAAUUUAAUAUCUUUGAUAUUAAUGGUUGGAGUUGAUUUGCGAGUGGGGAACGAAAAAGCUUGUUAGUAUUCCUUUCAGGUAUCCAAUGAUUGAUUGGGUUAAGAUUAAGGUUUCAGAUUAAGAUGCUAAGGUGAGCAUCUUGUGCAAAUCUGUUGGGUGAAAUGUUGAUGAUUAAUGCCUUGGAGUUGUCCAUUUUUAGUGGGCAAGAUUGGAGUCAAAAAUUGAUUGAUGGGAGAUUUUGGUAUUGAGUUACUUGACUUUUGAGAGAGUCGAGUUGGAAGGAAAGUUCGAAGUAGUGGUGUAUUCUAUUGAUGUAAAAGUUAGUUAAAAUGAUGAGGUGAGGUAUCCAAUGGUAAUUCAAAGGGAUACCUAUAUGAGUUGUUGAGGACCCUAGUCUUGGGUUAAAUAAGGUUUUAGGGAAUUUGUGGCUAGUGAUUGGGUGGUAAGGCAUUGCUGCAUAAAGAGCUAAAUGUCAAUUUAGAUAAGUCAUGAGUGAAGGCCAUUUUGCCGACAAUUUUAUCCGCAACAUAAAUCAAUUGGGAACAUGUUGGGAUAAUUUUGGUUGUGGCGGUAUAUGUUCUGGUUUCUGUAGUACUAAUUGCGGAUAUGUUUCUAUCCUUAGAGCAUCUUUUUUAAGAUGGUAGCGGUAUUAUAUUUUGAAAAUGAUGGAUGAUAGUAAUCGAUGAAUAGUAAGAUUUCUGAUGAUUUUGGUCUAUAUUGUGGAUUAGUUGAAGUUUGUUAAAGCACUAAGUAGAAUGACUUUGAUUGUUGGUUUUACAAAAGUCAUUGGUCAGUGCGUUGUGACAACUUCUUGUUGUGCCGCAGUCGGGGAAUUUUAAAAAUUGAUUGGUGGCACUAAAUGUUUUGAGUUUCAAGCAAGUUUGGAAUCGUGGAGUGAGGUGUCAGUUAUAUUAUUUUAAUCAUGGGGCCAGUAUGGAUUCUUUCCGAAUUCCAGGUGUUGAAGUUUGGCUUCCAAAUUUGUUAAGUGUUUGGGAAGAUGAUAAUGUAAAUGGAAUUGAAAAGUAAUGGUGGAGUGAGAGUAGGAUGGUUGUGGUCACUCCAGUUUUAUGACAACACCUGGUGAAUUUAAUAUGCGUUGUCAUGGGUAUUCUAUAGCAGUUGUGUGGAGUUAGUGGAAGUGGUAGCAGUGGAAUAAAACCCACUGGAUCAUAGAGCAAGAGUGCGUGGGUGUCCAAAGUAAUUUUUUAAGCAAUGUCAUUCCGGGUGGUUGAUUUAAGUCUUGACUUUAUGAUCGAAGUUGGUUAUUGACAUCACUUCGUUCGCAAUGGGUGACUAGCUACGACACAAUAAUGGGAGGAUCUGUUCUCACCUUAUUUCUAAUUCGGUGAGAUGGAGUAAAGUUUUGGUUAUGGUGUGUGUGGGAAUAUUUAAAUUAUUCCUACUGUAAUUUUUGGGUAGCAUCCUCAGAGCUUGAAAUUAUGGAAUGCGAAUUCAACGCUUCGAAUUGAAGGGUAGAGAUUCUGGUUAUUUUGUUGAAGUUUCGAGGUAAAUAAUAAAUUGGUAGUUGUGUCGUAGUCAUGGAUCCGGAAUAAAUCCAGUGGUGAUCCCAAGUGAGCUGGAGUUCAUUUAAGCGAUGAGUCUUGAUGCCGUAAAUCCUAUGUGGUAGUUUGAGAGUUGCAUGGUGAUGUUGAUUUUGAUGGUUUGUGUCGUUAUAGGUAUAUUUCAUGAUGUAGCAUUAUGGAAGAGGGUUUUCCCCUGUUGACUCAAGAAGCUUUUCUAGUCAAGGUUUAUUAAGAGUUGCGUGUUGUGGUUAGUAGAGAUAUUGGUAAGUCGAUCGAUGUCUUUUCUUGAGAUCGUAUUGUGGUGGAACCACUUGCUAAUCCAGGUUUGUUUUGGAAGGUCAUCGCUAUCCGAAUGUGAGUUCAUCCGUCGAUAUCUGGGUGAGUAGUUGAAACCACUAUUAAAUUUUGGUUUCUAGUUCAUAUUCGAAUCGGGUUAGUUGUGAAGCUUUUAAGUUCGAAGUUGGGGGACUUAUCUUUCAUAUGCUUUAAAUUAUUUCUUUUGGAGCUUGAGUUGAGUUUAGCCAUGAGUUUUGGCUUUUUCUUGAUUAUAUGGUUUUCGUUAGUUGGUGAGCCACAAAGUGUAGUAGUGGGCCUGUUCGGAAAUUAAUUUCUAUAUUUGAUGGUGAUCUUGUUGCUACGAGCUCGGUUUUUCGGAGAAUCUUUUUUGGUGGGAGCCGUGGCGCCUAGAAUAUGUAGAAGACGUGAGACUAUCUGAUUUUUAGAUCGUCUUCUGCUAUCAGAUUAAUUAUUAUUGGAGGUAGAAAAGAAGUGUGUUUGUCGAGUUCAAAGGUUUUGGUAUUUAGAAUCAUUCUUAUAAAACGGCUAAAGUGAGCCGUGUGCUUUUAAUUAUUGAAUUUGGGGUCGCGGUUGUACCCGAAUAAGUAGCAUGGCUGGAGAUGUAAAUUUUGUCAAUGCUUAAGGAAGGUGUUCUAUUUAUGUGGAUUUCAACGUCAAGUUAGGCAUCAUGAAUUGGCUGUGCCAAUUUUUCGUGGGCAUAAUUAGUUAGUUUUUGCUUGGCGAGCAAGGAGGAAUAUCCAGUUUCCACAUGAUAGUCAUGUUUCAAAUUAUCUUCUGGUUUGUGGUAAAGAGAAUAGUGGAGAUAGCAGAUUCAGGAGAGAGUUGAUAUUCUCAUGAGCUGCUAGUUUGUGGUGUUUAAAAAAAUAAAAAGGGUAAUGUAAUAGUUUUGGUGAAGAGACCUAAGUGGCGUGGUUUUGAUCUUUUCAUAAUGUUAUUUUGAGAAUCGAGGUUAUCAUAUGUUGGUGGACUAGUCUCUUAGGCAGAGCAAGGUUGUCUUGUGGACUUGCGAGAGCUUUGACUCCGCGAAAGACUCUGUGAAAUGUCUCGGCAUUAGAAGUGAUUGUUGCAGUUCUGCAGUGUGUGCAUCCUUAAAAAUCUUUUCAAUUAGCGGGUCUUAAUUUUGACCCCUAUGAGCAUGUGGGAAUGUGUGAACUUUAGUUUCCUAGCAAGUGGGCUUCAUUGUCGAGCUGUGAGCAGCGUAAUGACAAGGUUGUUACGUGACGUUAAAAGAUUUGAGCCCGAUGGUGAUAGCAAAUUUAUGUGCUUUAUUUGGGCAUUUCCAUUGUUCAGGAAAGAGUGUGCAUACCUACGGGUACUCGUACCCUGGAGCAGGUAUCACUAAACCCACUUACGUGUAAACGUUAGUGGUAGUUCAACGAAGGAUUUAGAGUCUUUGAUAAGAUCUAAAAUAAUUCAGGAUUCAAAUAAAAAUGUUAAAGGAGUCCGAGAUACACUCAAAGCAGCUCGUAGUAGCCAAAAGAGUUAUAAAGAUGUCCGCAUGAAGGACCAUGAGUUUCAAGUGAGUACUUGGGGUGUUUUUCGAAAUUGUCUCCUUGGAAAGGGGUGGUACGUUUUGGUGACGUGAAAAGCUUGGUCUGAGAUUUAUUGGUCCUUAUGGGUUUUAAGAUCAAGUUGGCUCUCUUGCGUAUCAAUUAGUUUUGCCUCCGGAGUUAUCCAAGAUACAUAAUGUGUUUCAUGUAUCCAUGCUUUGCAAGUUUAUUUUCAAUUUCUCUCAUGUGUUGCAAGAGCAGCCGAUUAGUUGGAAAAAGUUUUGACCUAUGAUAAGGAGCCGGUUCAGAUUCUUGACCCAAAGGAGCAAGUGCUUAGAAGCAAAUCAUUUUCCUCUUGUUAAAGUUCUAUGGAGAAGUCAUCAAGUAAAGGAAACUACUUGGGAAUCAGAGGAGCAAAUGAUGCAGCAAUAUCCCUAUCUCUUCGAAUGUCAGGUAUGUAAAUUUCAAGGACGAAAUUUUUAUAAGGAGGGGAGAAUUGUCACAUCCCGACCCUUAUAUUUUUUACCUUAUUUACUAGCUUGGUUAUAAUAAGAAUUUUACCGUCUCCGUCAUCGAGGUAAUAGUUUAAUUGGUCCCUAGAGGGGUUUCGGGGACGGUUAUGUGCGGAGGAUUAUUCGUAUGAGGAAAUUACGGCGACGGUAAAAAUGGUAAAUUUUAGUUAGUAAAAAGGUAAUUUUUAUUCGGGUAUUAUUUUUUCGGGGUGUUUUAUUUUGGAUUUGGGUUGUAUAAGAGUGUUGGACCGGGCCAAGAGGUGGUGAAAGCCCAGCCCUCUCUUUUCCCUUUCUCUUCUCUCCCUCCCGGCCUCAUCCCCGAGCUCUCCCGACCGGGAAACUUUUCGGCCGCCGUCCGCCGCCGUCCGGCGGAGAUAGGAGGCGUGCUUAGUGUUGAUUUGAAGCUUGGAGCAUCCUCUACAAGUUUAGAUAGGUGGUAGCCCGUAUCGCGCCACCGUAAAGGAGAAAUCAUGCCGAAAAGCCGCUGCUAUGCGUGGCGGGGUUUUCGCCGGAAAAUCCUUUUUCCAGCCACCAUAGCCGGAGCUGUUGGUAUCAUUUGGACGCUCUCUCUUCCAGCAGCAAACCCCUAAAAGGAUUCAUCCUAACUCGAGUUAGGUAAGGAGAAUCGGGUGUUUGAAUUUCCUAGGGUUUUCUUGAUAUGUUUGGUUUCGAUUACCCUAUUUAGGCUUGAAAUUGGACUUAGUGAUAGUUAUGAAAGUUGUUUUGGAUGUUGAGAGGAAGAUGCUGUUAAAUUUUCAUAGGAAUUGGAGGUCGCCGAAAUCGGCCUCCGGCCGCUGCUGCCGGCGGAGCCAGCGCCGGCGCCGCCGUUGUUUGGGAGUUUUGUAUAGUUUUAAAUGUGGAAUAUUAAGGGGAGUAUAUUGAUGUAAAUUAUGGAAUUUUUGGAUGAGUUUUGGUUAGGUUUGUGAAUCUCCGAAGUUUGGUAAUUUUGGCAGAUUAAUAAGAUAGAAUCCCGCCGUUGGAUUAAAGUCGUAUAAUCUGUGGAAGGGUGUAGUUAAGGUUGCUGGUUUUAGUGUUGAGGUGUGGACCGUAUCGAAGUUAGGCAAUGAUGAGCGUGAAUAUGGCUCUCGGUUAAUUUUGCCUAUUUUGUUUAAAUAUUGGAUUUUUAGUUGGGAAAUUAAUUUUAUAUUUGUGCCAGGGUUCGAGGAAACCUCUCUGGAGUGGCGAUUUGGAUUUCGUCGGGCUUAUGCCUAGAGUUGUGAGGGGACUUUUGUUUUAAAUAAAAUGCAUGCUAUAGUUCAUAGAUGAACAAUUAUUGUUGUGGAGCAUUUUAACGUCAUUUUAUUUUGACGAUUUUAUUUCUCUUGGAGAGUUACCGAAAAUGGGAUUUUCGGGGAAUAUAAAUAUGUAUUUAUGAGGAGAGUAUGUAUAAAAAUGCUAGCUAGCUGUAUGUGUCUGUCCACCUUAAUGGCGUAGUAUAUAGCCGCAUUAUGGUGUGACGUGAGCGUUGGACGCGAGCGUAGUAGCUCUAUAUGAGUGUUUAAUUCAUAUAGGGGGUAUGGGCACAUAUUUAUACACCCGUCUGUCCAUUUUAAUGGCGUAGUGUAGCACCGCAUUAAGGCGUGACGUGAGCGUUGGACGCGAGCGUAGUAGCCCUAUAUAGACCCAUGCAUUUAUAUAGGGAGUAUGGACGUGUGUAAAUACAUACAUAUAUUAUAGAGCCUGUGAGGCUCGACAUUUAUGAGAUAAAAGUUUUAUCGCUUGCAGCAUGCAUUCGAUUUUCUUUGGAAAUUGAAAUUGGAAAGCAUAAAUAUUUUUAUUAAUUUAUUUUUGUCCCCUCACUCUAACGUUGUUAAGUGUUUUCCCCUGGGCCUUUCGUUUUAAAAAUGCCCAGCUUGCAGGUUAGCUUAGUCAAGGUCGGGCGUACAUGGAGAUGAGGCAUAGUCAUCAUAUGGCUUCCGCUUGUUAAUUUAUUUUGUUUCCUUUCUUCUUAUUAGAGUUACUCUGAACCUAUAAUUGGUUGGAUAUGAGAUUUGUUUAGAUUAAAUUUUGGGUGGUGUUGUGAUUUGGGGAGCACGAAGGCUCCAGGAGUAGAGGAUAUUAAAUGGAUUCUUUUGAAGUGUAUGCAGGUAUUAUUAGGAAGGGUUGUCCAUUUUCAAGGGAGGUUAUGCCGAAUUUUUUUUUUUUUUGGUAAACUUUCCUUGGAGGUGGUCCCCGCAGGAUUUACUUCGGGUUUCAUGGUGAAAUUCGGGGUGGGUCCUGACAAUCGAUCAGCCGAAGAGCAGCAUAUGUAGUCAUGCAAAAUAAGGGUGAUCAGUAUCUUCAAAUUUAACAAUAGUAUAAGACAAUAUCGAUCCACACUUAGGAAAAUGAUACAUUAACUAAACUAACCUUCAAUUGGUAUGAUUUUCUUUCAAAAAAAAAGAAGUAUUGAUAAGAACAUGCAAAAGUGAUGCUUGUCAAGAAUGGAACCCUUCAUGCCCUUUUAGAACUGAAAGUGCAGGAUUUAUGCAUAGAUAAACUUGUCAAAUAUCAAUGACAAAAAUAAGAGUGUAAAGGAUCCCAAAUCCAUUGUUUUAUAACAAUGAGCUGCAAAUAUGAGAAAUUUUCAGAAAACAGGUAGUAAGAAAGAAAAAUUCACCAACAAUUGACCUUUCAAUAUUUUCAUGGGAAAAUUUUCAGAAUCAAAAUAGACAAACAAAGGAACAAUGUCCCAAAAUUACAAGCCGUUUGGAGUUCAAAUGCAUAGUCAAAUAGGGAUCCAAAGUGACUGAAAAUGC
Molecule: long non-coding RNA, 12785 nt
Filed under: Fragaria vesca (wild strawberry)
Lineage: Eukaryota; Viridiplantae; Streptophyta; Magnoliopsida; Rosales; Rosaceae
Description: long non-coding RNA (FVES_LNC000738)
Source: RNAcentral